This 301-nucleotide signal recognition particle RNA is filed under the name Vombatus ursinus (common wombat). RNAcentral describes it as "Metazoan signal recognition particle RNA (ENSVURG00010003103.1)". It matches the Rfam family "Metazoan signal recognition particle RNA". Rfam says of the family: The signal recognition particle (SRP) is a universally conserved ribonucleoprotein. Lineage: Eukaryota; Metazoa; Chordata; Mammalia; Diprotodontia; Vombatidae. The record is from Rfam by way of RNAcentral.
ACUGGACAUGGACAUGGACACAGGACUAUAAUCCCUCUUACUGAGAAGUUGAGGCUGGUGGAUCUUAGAAGCUCUGGAAUUCUGAUCUGUAGUGAAGGUCAAUUGGGUGUCUGUGCUAAGUCUAGCAACAAUGUGGCAUUUGCCUGGAGGCAGGAGGCCUGGUAGCUCUCUAAGGAAAGGCAGACUGGUGCAGGUUGGAAACAGAGCAGGUCAGAGUUUGCAUGCUGAACAACGGUGGGAUCACAUCCAUGAGUGGCUGCUACACUUCCAACCUGGGAGAGACAGAGAGACCCAGUUUCCU